This 363-nucleotide ribosomal RNA is filed under the name uncultured Desulfocapsa sp. RNAcentral describes it as "bacterial SSU rRNA". It matches the Rfam family "Bacterial small subunit ribosomal RNA", at positions 1019 to 1382 of the family's 1533-position model. Lineage: Bacteria; Pseudomonadati; Thermodesulfobacteriota; Desulfobulbia; Desulfobulbales; Desulfocapsaceae. The record is from RNAcentral.
UUCGGGAACCCGGUGACAGGUGCUGCAUGGCUGUCGUCAGCUCGUGUCGUGAGGUGUUGGGUUAAGUCCCGCAACGAGCGCAACCCCUAUCUUUAGUUGCCAUCAUUGAGUUGGGCACUCUAAAGAGACUGCCGGUGUCAAACCGGAGGAAGGUGGGGAUGACGUCAAGUCCUCAUGGCCUUUAUGACCAGGGCUACACACGUACUACAAUGGCCGGUACAAAGGGCAGCGACACAGCGAUGUGAAGCGAAAUCCCGAAAAGCCGGUCUCAGUCCGGAUUGGAGUCUGCAACUCGACUCCAUGAAGUUGGAAUCGCUAGUAAUCGCGGAUCAGCACGCCGCGGUGAAUACGUUCCCGGGCCUU